GGUGGCUCAAUGGUAGAGCGCUUGCCUUGCAUGCUCGAGGCCCUGGGUUCGAUUCCUCAGCACCA
This is a non-coding RNA of Dipodomys ordii (Ord's kangaroo rat), 65 nucleotides long. NCBI's taxonomy places the organism in Eukaryota, Metazoa, Chordata, Mammalia, Rodentia, Heteromyidae. The record is from Rfam.